AUUGAACGCUGGCGGCAUGCUUUACACAUGCAAGUCGAACGGUAACAGCACUUCGGUGGCUGACGAGUGGCGAACGGGUGAGUAAUACAUCGGAACGUGCCUAGUAGUGGGGGAUAACUACUCGAAAGAGUAGCUAAUACCGCAUGAGAUCUAAGGAUGGAAGCAGGGGACCUUCGGGCCUUGCGCUACUAGAGCGGCUGAUGGCAGAUUAGGUAGUUGGUGGGAUAAAAGCUUACCAAGCCGACGAUCUGUAGCUGGUCUGAGAGGACGACCAGCCACACUGGGACUGAGACACGGCCCAGACUCCUACGGGAGGCAGCAGUGGGGAAUUUUGGACAAUGGGCGCAAGCCUGAUCCAGCAAUGCCGCGUGCAGGAUGAAGGCCUUCGGGUUGUAAACUGCUUUUGUACGGAACGAAAAGCCCUCUUCUAAUACAGGAGGGUCAUGACGGUACCGUAAGAAUAAGCACCGGCUAACUACGUG
RNAcentral lists this ribosomal RNA (482 nucleotides) under uncultured bacterium. RNAcentral's name for it is "partial 16S ribosomal RNA". It matches the Rfam family "Bacterial small subunit ribosomal RNA", at positions 30 to 507 of the family's 1533-position model. The record is from RNAcentral.